This 253-nucleotide ribosomal RNA is filed under the name uncultured bacterium. RNAcentral's name for it is "partial 16S ribosomal RNA". It matches the Rfam family "Bacterial small subunit ribosomal RNA", at positions 524 to 776 of the family's 1533-position model. The record is from RNAcentral.
UACGUAGGGUGCAAGCGUUGUCCGGAAUUAUUGGGCGUAAAGAGCUUGUAGGCGGUUUGUCGCGUCUGCUGUGAAAAUCCGGGGCUCAACUCCGGAUCUGCGGUGGGUACGGGCAGACUAGAGUGAUGUAGGGGAGACUGGAAUUCCUGGUGUAGCGGUGAAAUGCGCAGAUAUCAGGAGGAACACCGAUGGCGAAGGCAGGUCUCUGGGCAUUAACUGACGCUGAGGAGCGAAAGCAUGGGGAGCGAACAGG